AUACAUUUCUCGGUUUUUUGGCUAAGAUCUUUUGUGGGUGAGGAUUCAUAUACGUAGCUUGCUACUUGAGUCUUCUUGUAUUGUCCUAUCAGUGCACUACUGCUAGGUCUGAUGCACCCCAA
Molecule: small nuclear RNA, 122 nt
Filed under: Triticum aestivum (bread wheat)
Lineage: Eukaryota; Viridiplantae; Streptophyta; Magnoliopsida; Poales; Poaceae
Description: snRNA U2
Rfam family: U2 spliceosomal RNA
About the family: U2 is a small nuclear RNA (snRNA) component of the spliceosome (involved in pre-mRNA splicing). Complementary binding between U2 snRNA (in an area lying towards the 5' end but 3' to hairpin I) and the branchpoint sequence (BPS) of the intron results the bulging out of an unpaired adenosine, on the BPS, which initiates a nucleophilic attack at the intronic 5' splice site, thus starting the first of two transesterification reactions that mediate splicing.
Source: Rfam by way of RNAcentral